Molecule: long non-coding RNA, 523 nt
Organism: Rhodamnia argentea
Lineage: Eukaryota; Viridiplantae; Streptophyta; Magnoliopsida; Myrtales; Myrtaceae
Exons: 2
Source: RefSeq, a predicted model, not a curated record
GGCACUUGUCGAUCUCGAUGGUCGAUUCUUUGGGGGACGAGUGGUUCAUGCAACCUUUUAUGACGAAGAGCGGUUCGGUAAGAACGAAUUGGCUCCUAUGCCAGGUGAAAUCCCUGGUUUCUAACAGGUGACAUGGGAGUAAAAGGCUUAAAACAUCGCCAUGACUCAGCACUUUUGGACAUCAAUUUAUAUGUUUUGUGUCUGAGCAAUGCGCAUGAUUUUCUUGGACCGGGAAAAGGUUGUUUGAUUAGGGAUUGUUAUCAUUUUGUUAGCAAGCACACUUAAAAGACAACCAAAUAUGAUUUUCUUUUGAACCAUCAAUCUUGGGACUUUUUAUGUGCACUUCUGCCGUUAAGUGUGUCAUGCUCAAAAGCUUUGUCGCUCCUAUUAAUUGCAAACGGCACCUAUUUCUACAUUUAUGGUUCUAAGACUGGUAACUGAUCAUUAUUCAUCGAUAGAUAGGAGAUUUAAUUGUAAAUGGAAGGAGCAUGUUUAUGAAGAAUCCAUGUUGUUAACUGCUCAA